UUCUUCAUCAACCGGAGAGGUUUUACUUAAUUGUAGAUUAAUAGGGAAUCGUGUGUAAAUCACGAACUGUCGCGCAACUGUAAGUAACACAAAGGUUUUUACCCUUAGAAUAUCCACUGUUCCAGUAAUGGGAUGGGAAGGAUGGUAAAAAUGUUACAAGUCAGGAGACCUGCCUUCACCGAAUUGACAAU
RNAcentral lists this non-coding RNA (191 nucleotides) under Pedobacter sp. Lineage: Bacteria; Pseudomonadati; Bacteroidota; Sphingobacteriia; Sphingobacteriales; Sphingobacteriaceae. The record is from RNAcentral.